GAUGAACGCUGGCGGCGUGCCUAAUACAUGCAAGUCGAGCGAACGGACGAGAAGCUUGCUUCUCUGAUGUUAGCGGCGGACGGGUGAGUAACACGUGGAUAACCUACCUAUAAGACUGGGAUAACUUCGGGAAACCGGAGCUAAUACCGGAUGAUAUUUUGAACCGCAUGGUUCAAAAGUGAAAGACGGUCUUGCUGUCACUUAUAGAUGUAUCCGCGCUGCAUUAGCUAGUUGGUAAGGUAACGGCUUACCAAGGCAACGAUGCAUAGCCGACCUGAGAGGGUGAUCUGCCACACUGGAACUGAGACACGGUCCAGACUCCUACGGGAGGCAGCAGUAGGGAAUCUUCCGCAAUGGGCGAAAGCCUGACGGAGCAACGCCGCGUGAGUGAUGAAGGUCUUCGGAUCGUAAAACUCUGUUAUUAGGGAAGAACAUAUGUGUAAGUACCUGUGCACAUCUUGACGGUACCUAAUCAGAAAGCCACGGCUAACUACGUG
Molecule: ribosomal RNA, 497 nt
Filed under: uncultured bacterium
Lineage: Bacteria
Description: partial 16S ribosomal RNA
Rfam family: Bacterial small subunit ribosomal RNA
Source: RNAcentral